GAUGAACGCUGGCGGCGUGCCUAAUACAUGCAAGUCGAGCGAACAGAUAAGGAGCUUGCUCCUUUGGCGUUAGCGGCGGACGGGUGAGUAACACGUGGAUAACCUACCUAUAAGACUGGGAUAACUUCGGGAAACCGGAGCUAAUACCGGAUAACAUAUUGAACCGCAUGGUUCAAUAGUGAAAGGCGGCUUUGCUGUCACUUAUAGAUGGAUCCGCGCCGUAUUAGCUAGUUGGUAAGGUAACGGCUUACCAAGGCAACGAUACGUAGCCGACCUGAGAGGGUGAUCGGCCACACUGGAACUGAGACACGGUCCAGACUCCUACGGGAGGCAGCAGUAGGGAAUCUUCCGCAAUGGGCGAAAGCCUGACGGAGCAACGCCGCGUGAGUGAUGAAGGUCUUCGGAUCGUAAAACUCUGUUAUCAGGGAAGAACAAAUGUGUAAGUAACUGUGCACAUCUUGACGGUACCUGAUCAGAAAGCCACGGCUAACUACGUG
This 497-nucleotide ribosomal RNA is filed under the name uncultured bacterium. RNAcentral describes it as "partial 16S ribosomal RNA". It matches the Rfam family "Bacterial small subunit ribosomal RNA", at positions 28 to 507 of the family's 1533-position model. The record is from RNAcentral.